RNAcentral lists this ribosomal RNA (660 nucleotides) under uncultured fungus. RNAcentral's name for it is "LSU rRNA". It matches the Rfam family "Eukaryotic large subunit ribosomal RNA", at positions 23 to 664 of the family's 3401-position model. The record is from RNAcentral. Lineage: Eukaryota; Fungi.
ACCCGCUGAACUUAAGCAUAUCAAUAAGCGGAGGAAAAGAAACUAACAAGGAUUCCCUUAGUAACGGCGAGUGAAGAGGGAAGAGCUCAAAUUUGAAAUCUGGCGUCCUACGGUCGUCCGAGUUGUAAUCUAGAGAAGUGUUUUCCGCGCUGGACCGUGUACAAGUCCUUUGGAACAAGGCGUCAUAGAGGGUGAGAAUCCCGUCUACGACACGGACGACCAGUGCUUUGUGAUACACUCUCAACGAGUCGAGUUGUUUGGGAAUGCAGCUCAAAAUGGGUGGUAAAUUCCAUCUAAAGCUAAAUAUGGGCGAAAGACCGAUAGCGAACAAGUACCGUGAGGGAAAGAUGAAAAGCACUUUGGAAAGAGAGUUAAACAGUACGUGAAAUUGUUGAAAGGGAAACGCUUGAAGUCAGUCGCGUCUUCAGAAAUUCAGCCUGGCUUCUGCCUGGUGCAUUUUUCUGUUGGACGGGCCAGCAUCAGUUUUGGCCGCCAGAAAAAGGUGGGGGGAAGGUAGCACCUCCGGGUGUGUUAUAGCCCCUCAUCGUAUGUGGCGGCUGGGACUGAGGACUGCAGCACGCCUUCAUGGCCGGGGUUCGCCCACGUAACGUGCUUAGGAUGCUGGCGUAAUGGCUUUAAACGACCCGUCUUGAAACACGG